AUACGGAGGAUGCGAGCGUUAUCCGGAUUUAUUGGGUUUAAAGGGUGCGUAGGCGGGUUGCCAAGUCAGGGGUGAAAUCCCGGAGCCUAACUCCGGAACUGCCUUUGAUACUGGCAGUCUUGAAUUCGGAUGCCGUGGGAGGAAUGAGUAGUGUAGCGGUGAAAUGCAUAGAUAUUACUCAGAACACCGAUUGCGAAGGCAUCUCACGAAUCCGACAUUGACGCUGAGGCACGAAAGCGUGGGGAUCAAACAGGAUUAGAUACCCUGGUAGUCCACGCAGUAAACGAUGAUUACUAGCUGUUUGCGAUAUACAGUAAGUGGCACAGCGAAAGCGUUAAGUAAUCCACCUGGGGAGUACGCCGGCAACGGUGAAACUCAAAUGAAUUGGCGGGG
Molecule: ribosomal RNA, 393 nt
Filed under: uncultured bacterium
Lineage: Bacteria
Description: partial 16S ribosomal RNA
Rfam family: Bacterial small subunit ribosomal RNA
Source: RNAcentral